Molecule: small nuclear RNA, 173 nt
Filed under: Lynx canadensis (Canada lynx)
Lineage: Eukaryota; Metazoa; Chordata; Mammalia; Carnivora; Felidae
Description: U4 spliceosomal RNA (ENSLCNG00005004770.1)
Rfam family: U4 spliceosomal RNA (bases 1-142)
About the family: U4 small nuclear RNA (U4 snRNA) is a component of the major U2-dependent spliceosome. The structure of U4 snRNA from yeast and human has been reported.
Source: RNAcentral
AGCUUUGUGCAGUGGCGGUAUCGUAGCCAAUGAGGUUUAUCCGAGGCACAAUUAUUGCUAAUUGGAAACUUUUAUUGUCAACAGGGGUUAUCUUGGUGGGGAGGUUAUGGUCUAUCUUUAUUUUUAUCUUGUAGCUCUCUGAAUUAAAAAGAAAAAAAAGUAUUACUUCUAAU